AACGAACGCUGGCGGCGUGCCUAAUACAUGCAAGUCGAACGCUUUUUCUUUCACCGGAGCUUGCUCCAUCGAAAGAAAAAGAGUGGCGAACGGGUGAGUAACACGUGGGUAACCUGCCCAUCAGAAGGGGAUAACACUUGGAAACAGGUGCUAAUACCGUAUAACACUAUUUUCCGCAUGGAAGAAAGUUGAAAGGCGCUUUUGCGUCACUGAUGGAUGGACCCGCGGUGCAUUAGCUAGUUGGUGAGGUAACGGCUCACCAAGGCAACGAUGCAUAGCCGACCUGAGAGGGUGAUCGGCCAAACUGGGACUGAGACACGGCCCAGACUCCUACGGGAGGCAGCAGUAGGGAAUCUUCGGCAAUGGACGAAAGUCUGACCGAGCAACGCCGCGUGAGUGAAGAAGGUUUUCGGAUCGUAAAACUCUGUUGUUAGAGAAGAACAAGGAUGAGAGUAAAAUGUUCAUCCCUUGACGGUAUCUAACCAGAAAGCCACGGCUAACUACGUGCCAGCCGCCGCCGUAA
This 523-nucleotide ribosomal RNA is filed under the name uncultured bacterium. RNAcentral describes it as "partial 16S ribosomal RNA". It matches the Rfam family "Bacterial small subunit ribosomal RNA", at positions 29 to 523 of the family's 1533-position model. The record is from RNAcentral.